This 126-nucleotide non-coding RNA is filed under the name Porphyridium aerugineum. The record is from RNAcentral. Lineage: Eukaryota; Rhodophyta; Bangiophyceae; Porphyridiales; Porphyridiaceae.
UCUUGCUUAAGUUUUUUCUUUCCUUCUUUCUUUCCUUCUUUCUUUCCGGGUGGCUUCAAAGAUUAAACGAGUACGAAUCUGCAUGACUGCAUUAUCGGUUUGAAGGAAGAAAAGAAAAGGAAAGGG